Molecule: ribosomal RNA, 403 nt
Filed under: bacterium
Lineage: Bacteria
Description: partial 16S ribosomal RNA
Rfam family: Bacterial small subunit ribosomal RNA
Source: RNAcentral
UGGGGAAUAUUGCACAAUGGGGGAAACCCUGAUGCAGCGACGCCGCGUGAACGAAGAAGGUAUUCGUAUCGUAAAGUUCUGUCCUAUGGGAAGAUAAUGACAGUACCAUAGAAGAAAGCUCCGGCUAAAUACGUGCCAGCAGCCGCGGUAAUACGUAUGGAGCGAGAGUUGUCCGGAAUUAUUGGGCGUAAAGGGUACGCAGGCGGUUUAAUAAGUCGAAUGUUAAAGAUCGGGGCUCAACCCCGUAAAGCAUUGGAAACUGAUAAACUUGAGUAGUGGAGAGGAAGGUGGAAUUCCUAGUGUAGUGGUGAAAUACGUAGAUAUUAGGAGGAAUACCAGUAGCGAAGGCGACUUUCUGGACACAAACUGACGCUGAGGUACGAAAGCGUGGGGAGCAAACAGG